AGCAGCCGCGGUAAUUCCAGCUCCAAUAGCGUAUAUUAAAGUUGUUGCAGUUAAAAAGCUCGUAGUUGAAUUUCGGGAUCAAAGGAUCGGUCAUGCCUUGGUAUGUACUGGUUUUAUUGGUUCUCACCUUCUAAAGAACCAUAAUGUCAUUCAUUUGAUGUUAUGGGGAAUUAGGACUGUUACCUUGAAAAAAUUAGAGUGUUUAAAGCAGGCUUACGCUUGAAUACAUUAGCAUGGAAUAAUGAAAUAGGACAUCAGAUUCUAUUUUGUUGGUUUCUAGGAUCGAUGUAAUGAUUAAUAGGGAUAGUUGGGGGCAUUAGUAUUCAAUUGUCAGAGGUGAAAUUCUUGGAUUUAUUGAAGACUAACUACUGCGAAAGCAUUUGCCAAGGAUGUUUUCAUUAAUCAAGAACGAAAGUUAGGGGAUCGAAGACGAUCAGAUACCGUCGUAGUCUUAACCAUAAACUAUGCCGACUAGGGAUCGGAUGAUGUUAAUUUAAUGACUCA
RNAcentral lists this ribosomal RNA (504 nucleotides) under uncultured Glomus. RNAcentral's name for it is "SSU rRNA". It matches the Rfam family "Eukaryotic small subunit ribosomal RNA", at positions 569 to 1078 of the family's 1831-position model. The record is from RNAcentral. Lineage: Eukaryota; Fungi; Glomeromycota; Glomeromycetes; Glomerales; Glomeraceae.